UACAUAGGUCUCAAGCGUUGUUCGGAUUUAUUGGGCGUAAAGGGUGCGUAGGCGGCGCGGUAAGUCGGGUGUGAAAUCUCGGAGCUUAACUCCGAAACUGCAUUCGAUACUGCCGUGCUUGAGGACUGGAGAGGAGACUGGAAUUUACGGUGUAGCGGUGAAAUGCGUAGAUAUCGUAAGGAAGACCAGUGGCGAAGGCGGGUCUCUGGACAGUUCCUGACGCUGAGGCACGAAGGUCAGGGGAGCAAACGGG
Molecule: ribosomal RNA, 253 nt
Filed under: uncultured bacterium
Lineage: Bacteria
Description: partial 16S ribosomal RNA
Rfam family: Bacterial small subunit ribosomal RNA
Source: RNAcentral